GGGCAACAAAGUCUAGUAUUGAUUCUGCAUCAUCUACUAACAGUUCUUUACACCAAAAAUGAAAAAGAGAAAUGACCUCCUCCAUGAUCAUCAAUCAAAUUCGUGCAAUUACCUACACACAAAAAAGGAAUCCUCCCUCUAAAUAAACAAGAUAUUUCCUUCUUUCUCCAUCUGAAAUGAUCACCUAUUUACUUUCUUUCU
This 201-nucleotide unclassified non-coding RNA is filed under the name Hevea brasiliensis (rubber tree). Lineage: Eukaryota; Viridiplantae; Streptophyta; Magnoliopsida; Malpighiales; Euphorbiaceae. The record is from RNAcentral.